This 252-nucleotide ribosomal RNA is filed under the name uncultured bacterium. RNAcentral describes it as "partial 16S ribosomal RNA". It matches the Rfam family "Bacterial small subunit ribosomal RNA", at positions 524 to 776 of the family's 1533-position model. The record is from RNAcentral.
UACGGAGGGUGCAAGCGUUGUUCGGAAUUAUUGGGCGUAAAGCGCGCGCAGGCGGCCAUUUAAGUCUGGUGUUUAAUCCCGGGGCUCAACUCCGGGUCGCACUGGAAACUGGAAAACUUGAGUGCAGAAGAGGAAAGUGGAAUUACAUGUGUAGCGGUGAAAUGCGCAGAGAUAUGGAGGAACACCAGUGGCGAAGGCGACUCUCUGGGCUGUAACUGACGCUGAGGCGCGAAAGCGUGGGUAGCAAACAGG